CGCAUCUGUGCAUGCAGCAUAUCAAUAAGCGGAGGAAAAGAAACUAACAAGGAUUCCCCUAGUAACGGCGAGUGAAGCGGGAAGAGCUCAAAUUUGAAAUCUUAAAGGGUUUCCCUUUACGAAUUGUAGUUUAAAGAAGUGUUUUCUGUUGAGGUUUUGGUAAAAGUUCUUUGGAAUAGGACAUCAUAGAGGGUGAGAAUCCCGUAUUUGACCUUUACUUUCAACUUUGUGAUACACUUUCAAAGAGUCGGAUUGUUUGGGAAUGCAGUCCAAAAUGGGUGGUAAAUUUCAUCUAAAGCUAAAUAUUGGCGAGAGACCGAUAGCGAACAAGUACCGUGAGGGAAAGAUGAAAAGAACUUUGAAAAGAGAGUUAAACAGUACGUGAAAUUGUCAAAAGGGAAGCGUUUCGACACCAGUGUUGUUUUUCUGAAAAUCAAUUAAAGAACUGUUUAUGCUAAGCUGUUUAGACUUUAUCAGCUAUCUGUUUAGUUUUGAGCUUUUCUUUAAUGCACUUUUCAGUUAACAAGUCAACAUCAAUUUCUUUUGCUGUAAAAAAGCUUGAGGAAGGUGGCUUGAGAUUCGUCUUAAGUGUUUAUAGCCUCUUGCCUAUGCAGUCGGAGAGAUUGAGGUCUGCAGCGUAGAUCCUUCGGGGCUAAAUGCAUUUGUGCUAAGUUAUAGCAUUUUAUAGACAACUUGUUGACUAUGAUUUGUCUUGUAGCUUACUCGCUUAUGUUAUUUUACCUACGCUUAGGAUGUUGAGUCAUCACACAUCUCU
Molecule: ribosomal RNA, 775 nt
Filed under: uncultured Neocallimastigales
Lineage: Eukaryota; Fungi; Neocallimastigomycota; Neocallimastigomycetes; Neocallimastigales
Description: partial large subunit ribosomal RNA
Rfam family: Eukaryotic large subunit ribosomal RNA
Source: RNAcentral